AUUGAACGCUGGCGGCAGGCUUAACACAUGCAAGUCGAGCGGGGUGAUGGUGCUUGCACUAUCACUUAGCGGCGGACGGGUGAGUAAUGCUUAGGAAUCUGCCUAUUAGUGGGGGACAACAUCUCGAAAGGGAUGCUAAUACCGCAUACGUCCUACGGAAGAAAGCAGGGGAUCACUUGUGACCUUGCGCUAAUAGGUGAGCCUAAGUCGGAUUAGCUAGUUGGUGGGGUAAGGGCCUACCAAGGCGAAGAUCUGUAGCGGGUCUGAGAGGAUGAUCCGCCACACUGGGACUGAGACACGGCCCAGACUCCUACGGGAGGCAGCAGUGGGGAAUAUUGGACAAUGGGGGGAACCCUGAUCCAGCCAUGCCGCGUGUGUGAAGAAGGCCUUAUGGUUGUAAAGCACUUUAAGCGAGGAGGAGGCUCUUUUGGUUAAUACCCAAGAUGAGUGGACGUUACUCGCAGAAUAAGCACCGGCUAACUCUGUGCCAGCCGCCGCCGUAA
Molecule: ribosomal RNA, 503 nt
Filed under: uncultured bacterium
Lineage: Bacteria
Description: partial 16S ribosomal RNA
Rfam family: Bacterial small subunit ribosomal RNA
Source: RNAcentral